UGAGCAACCUGCCCUUGACCCCGGAAUAACAGUUGGAAACAGCUGCUAAUACCGGAUACGACCUCUUCCGACAUCUGGAGAGGUGGAAAGCCCUGGCGGUCAAGGAUGGGCCCGCGGCCUAUCAGCUUGUUGGUGAGGUAACGGCUCACCAAGGCGACGACGGGUAGCUGGUCUGAGAGGAUGGCCAGCCACAUUGGGACUGAGACACGGCCCAGACCUCCGUACGGGAGGNAGCG
RNAcentral lists this ribosomal RNA (236 nucleotides) under uncultured bacterium. RNAcentral's name for it is "partial 16S ribosomal RNA". It matches the Rfam family "Bacterial small subunit ribosomal RNA", at positions 118 to 353 of the family's 1533-position model. The record is from RNAcentral.